RNAcentral lists this small RNA (29 nucleotides) under Bombyx mori (domestic silkworm). Its description in RNAcentral is "ovarian small RNA-4359". The record is from RNAcentral. Lineage: Eukaryota; Metazoa; Arthropoda; Insecta; Lepidoptera; Bombycidae.
ACACUGGUGCUGCGAAUGGGCUGUAAGAU